Non-coding RNA from Ictidomys tridecemlineatus (thirteen-lined ground squirrel), 2081 nucleotides. The record is from RefSeq and is a predicted model, not a curated record. Lineage: Eukaryota; Metazoa; Chordata; Mammalia; Rodentia; Sciuridae.
CAAGAGCAAGGGUCUGUCCCUCCCUGUACUCCAGUCUCUCCACUGUACAAUAGGAGCACUUUAGCAGGGCAUUCCCUGAGACAUCUGUGAGAGGAUUUCUUUUCAUCGUUAGAACCCACUGACCUUUCCAUUUCCUUUUCCUCCUCCUUCCCUCUGUCCAGCUUUUGCUGUGUGGCAGGCCUGUGCUGGCCACUGGGCUUCAGGCUCCUCUUGGAGGGGAGGAGGUCCCGGAGGGGCAGGGCAGGGCAAGCCCUCUCUUGGCAGUAGCUGCUGUGGGAUGAAUACCUUCUCCUCCGUCACCCCCAGUGAUUCUGGUUAUCUGAUUGCCCAGUCGUGCUGAGGGCUUCCUGCUAGCCAGAAUCUCAGUCCCUGCCUGACUGCCAUUGAACAUCUUUCCAGCACCGACCCUGCAUAUGCCCUGCCUAGGGAGGCACCCAGGCUGAAAGGACAUGGGGGUGAGGGGGUGAGGGCAGCCAUAGUUCCGUUCACCAUGCUGACCUCUAUUGACCCCUCUUUCUCCUCAGCUGCCUUCCCUGGAGGCCAAAGCUUCGGUGGAGAUGCGGGCGGGGGCCAGUUGGCUGUUUUCAGGGGCCCUGGUUGGGGCGCUAGGAGAGCUGGCUCUAGUGUGGACCUCUUCCGCUGAUUUGCUCUGUGAUAGCAGCUCCAGGAGAGAAACCUCACUGCAAUUGAUUUAAACACAAGAACUGCUAACUGGCUGUUCCUCUGCAGGAGACAUCAGGGUGGCCGGUGACCUGAAGCCCAGCCCAGCUGCAGUGAGAAGCCCAGGCUGGGCUACUGAAUGAUGGGUUUGGUGCAGAGAGAGGCCUGCCGUCCUCACCCAACCCAGUCCUGGCUGACCCACCCGUCACAUGAAGCCACACGAGUCAGCUCAGUGAAGUCGGCUGGACGUCCCAGCCAGACCCAGGAGCAGAAGAACCCAUCAUCGUUUCAAGCCACUAAGUCCUGCCUGCUUUAUUGUGUAGCAGUGGAGACAUGAAGCAGCCAGGCUUAAAGAGUGAAAAGGUUAACAAUAUGCAUUAAUUUGAAUUUGUCCAAUGUCAUUUCUCAGUCUGAGAGGCGGGCAACCCCCUCUUAGAUCCCUGAGGUUCUGACCUUCAGAGUCCCUGUAAUGUCACCAGUGAUCUGGGAGCAGCAUGGGGUCCAUGAUGGUCUGUCAUCCACUACUGCAUCCCCAGUAACACAUCAAUGCAGAGGACACCUACUACUCCUCUAGACUGCCACACAAAUGCCAAGCCCCUGCUUUCAUACCCCAGGACAGUUUCUUCCAUUACUGAGUGACUCUGUCUGGAAGAGAAUACUCCUCCCAUGAGAACAAAGACCCACAUCAUUCCCUCUGGGACCCAGAUUCUCUCCCUGAGGUCCCCUCUCCUAUCCCACAGCCCUGAGUGCAUCACAGUUGUCCCUAGCAUUUGCAAAGCAGCACAAUCUCACUCGAUAGCAAGUUUUUUCAUGUACCUGUGCCCAGGCCUUAUGGGAAGUGUGUCCACCAGGGUCUAAACCAGCUCCAGCUCCGUGACCACCGUUAGGGGCUUUGGCACCAACCCAGCCUCUGUGCGGAAGACACUCCUGUCUUAGCCUCAGUUUUCUCACCUGGAAAACAGAAGUGAAAUUUACUGCCCGGGGUUGCCACUGGGCCUAAAGGGGAGAUGAUGGAUGUGGAGAGUCGGGGAUAGAAUUGGUCCUUGAUAAAGGUUAGUUCCUCUUCUGCCAGGUAUAUAAACUGUUCCAGAUGGAAAGCUCAUCUAUGCUUAGCAUUCAUGUCUGUAUAAAUAAUGUGCAGGUGGGGGAGGAACCGUCAGGUGGCCUGGGCAGGGGGGGAUUCCCAUCAGGGAGAGCAGGGGGAGCAAAGACUAGAGAAAACCGUGUGCUAGGGAAGGGCCAGCGAGCAGUGGGUGGUUAGGAGCUGCCAGUGCUUGAAGAGUGACAGGAGGGAAAAGGGAGGACCAGCCCUGCCGUGGGCUGCCAAGGGAGACAAGGAGAGGUCAGGAGGGGGAGGGGCAAGGUCAGAGGCGGGACUCCAGUCUGGGGCAGGUCUGGGGCUUCACUGGGAGGUGAGGCCA